Molecule: ribosomal RNA, 378 nt
Filed under: uncultured bacterium
Lineage: Bacteria
Description: bacterial SSU rRNA
Rfam family: Bacterial small subunit ribosomal RNA
Source: RNAcentral
UAUUGGACAAUGGGGGCAACCCUGAUCCAGCCAUGCCGCGUGAGUGAUGAAGGCCCUAGGGUUGUAAAGCUCUUUUGUGCGGGAAGAUAAUGACGGUACCGCAAGAAUAAGCCCCGGCUAACUUCGUGCCAGCAGCCGCGGUAAUACGAAGGGGGCUAGCGUUGCUCGGAAUCACUGGGCGUAAAGGGUGCGUAGGCGGGUUUUUAAGUCAGGGGUGAAAUCCUGGAGCUCAACUCCAGAACUGCCUUUGAUACUGAAGAUCUUGAGUCCGGGAGAGGUGAGUGGAACUGCGAGUGCAGAGGUGAAAUUCGUAGAUAUUCGCAAGAACACCAGUGGCGAAGGCGGCUCACUGGCCCGGUACUGACGCUGAGCACGAAA